RNAcentral lists this ribosomal RNA (481 nucleotides) under uncultured bacterium. RNAcentral's name for it is "partial 16S ribosomal RNA". It matches the Rfam family "Bacterial small subunit ribosomal RNA", at positions 28 to 507 of the family's 1533-position model. The record is from RNAcentral.
GAUGAACGCUGGCGGCGUGCCUAACACAUGCAAGUCGAGCGAAGCACUUACUUUAGAUUUCUUCGGAAUGACGAAGUUUGUGACUGAGCGGCGGACGGGUGAGUAACGCGUGGGCAACCUGCCCUGUACAGGGGGAUAACAGUUAGAAAUGACUGCUAAUACCGCAUAAGCCCACAGCUUCGCAUGAAGCAGUUGGAAAAACUCCGGUGGUACAGGAUGGGCCCGCGUCUGAUUAGCUAGUUGGUAAGGUAACGGCUUACCAAGGCGACGAUCAGUAGCCGACCUGAGAGGGUGACCGGCCACAUUGGGACUGAGACACGGCCCAAACUCCUACGGGAGGCAGCAGUGGGGAAUAUUGCACAAUGGGGGAAACCCUGAUGCAGCGACGCCGCGUGAGCGAUGAAGUAUUUCGGUAUGUAAAGCUCUAUCAGCAGGGAAGAAAGUGACGGUACCUGACUAAGAAGCCCCGGCUAACUACGUG